GUGCUUGCUUCAGCAGCACAUAUGCUAAAACUGGAACAAUACAGAGAAGAUUAGCAUGGCCCCAGAACAAGGAUGACAUGCAAAUUCAUGAAGUGUUCCAUAUUUUU
This 107-nucleotide small nuclear RNA is filed under the name Sus scrofa (pig). Lineage: Eukaryota; Metazoa; Chordata; Mammalia; Artiodactyla; Suidae. The record is from RNAcentral. RNAcentral also lists the same sequence under 1 other name.